AACGAACGCUGGCGGCGUGGCUUAGGCAUGCAAGUCGAGCGAGAAACCGUUCUUCGGGACGGGAGUAAAGCGGCGAAAGGGACAGUAAUGCCUAGAUAGCCUACCCUAGAGACGGGGAUAACGCUGGGAAACCGGUGCUAAUACCCGAUGGUGUCGGCGGGUCGCAUGGUCUGCCGACUAAAGAUAGCCUCUAUUUAUAAGCCUUCGCUCUAGGAGGGGUC
RNAcentral lists this ribosomal RNA (221 nucleotides) under uncultured bacterium. RNAcentral's name for it is "partial 16S ribosomal RNA". It matches the Rfam family "Bacterial small subunit ribosomal RNA", at positions 29 to 231 of the family's 1533-position model. The record is from RNAcentral.